AACGAACGCUGGCGGCAUGCCUAACACAUGCAAGUCGAACGAGACCUUCGGGUCUAGUGGCGCACGGGUGCGUAACGCGGGGGAAUCUACCCUCAGGUUCGGAAUAACUCAGAGAAAUUUGAGCUAAUACCGGAUGAUGACGUAAGUCCAAAGAUUUAUCGCCUGAGGAGGAGCCCGCUUAGCUUUAGGUAGUUGGUGAGGUAAAGGCUCACCAAGCCGACGAUCCUUAGCUGGUCUGAGAGGAUGAUCAGCCACACUGGGACUGAGACACGGCCCAGACUCCUACGGGAAGCAGCAGUGGGGAAUAUUGGACAACGGGCGAAGGCCUGAUCCAGCAAGGCCGCGUGAGUGAUGAAGGCCUUAGGGUUGUAAAGCUCUUUUACCCGGGAUGAUAAUGACAGUACCGGGAGAAUAAGCUCCGGCUAACUCCGUG
This 433-nucleotide ribosomal RNA is filed under the name uncultured bacterium. Its description in RNAcentral is "partial 16S ribosomal RNA". It matches the Rfam family "Bacterial small subunit ribosomal RNA", at positions 29 to 507 of the family's 1533-position model. The record is from RNAcentral.